RNAcentral lists this ribosomal RNA (156 nucleotides) under Bradyrhizobium japonicum. RNAcentral's name for it is "partial 16S ribosomal RNA". It matches the Rfam family "Bacterial small subunit ribosomal RNA", at positions 1380 to 1533 of the family's 1533-position model. Lineage: Bacteria; Pseudomonadati; Pseudomonadota; Alphaproteobacteria; Hyphomicrobiales; Nitrobacteraceae. The record is from RNAcentral.
CUUGUACACACCGCCCGUCACACCAUGGGAGUUGGCUUUACCUGAAGACGGUGCGCUAACCCGCAAGGGAGGCAGCCGGCCACGGUAGGGUCAGCGACUGGGGUGAAGUCGUAACAGGGUAGCCGUAGGGGAACCUGCGGCUGGAUCACCUCCUUU